Molecule: long non-coding RNA, 663 nt
Filed under: Eucalyptus grandis
Lineage: Eukaryota; Viridiplantae; Streptophyta; Magnoliopsida; Myrtales; Myrtaceae
Description: long non-coding RNA (EGRA_LNC002113)
Source: RNAcentral
UGCGUACGUCAGCAUGAUUACGUAAUUCAUGUUCCAACAAUCGUCAAGUUUGGCCAUUGCAUGACCCGUUCGUAUGCUGUCCAAAAUCAAUAAUGAAUCUUAUCUGGGGAGAAGUAGAAUAAACAAAGACUCAUCAGGUCUUGCACGGGGAAAAGGCCUCCUGACACAAUCAGCUUUCUCUGUCCUUGUCGUUUGAUGGAAUCGUUUUUCGUCAGCAUUGCAGAUACCAUGUUCUUGGAGGAGCAAUGUUGGCAGUCAGACACUGUGUCUUUCCUUGGGAUUCAAUUUGGUGCUCUCUCCUCCCAUUUCCUUCACGAGAGAAUCUUAACCUAGUACAGCAAUGUGUAUUUAUUCAACUAAUUGAGUGGCCUGUAGUGGAAGCAGUUAAGACAAAGGAAAGCACCUGCUUGAGCACUUCUUAUAUUAACUAGCUGAAACUUGAAAGCUGCAACGAUUAUCAGUUUUAGAGGGAGAUUCUCUACCAUCUAACGAAUUGGCUAUCAACAUAGGAAUACGCCCUUAGUCUGUUUAUAACUCUUGCCUCGGUGCUAUGUUACCCUAGCUUCUUUCAUGAUGUAAACGAAGGCUUUUGGCUCACUCUUCCCAAUGCAUUGCAUCGAGACGGAGGAGCCUACUCAUUAACUAAUAUUUUUUCUAUUUCCC